Molecule: unclassified non-coding RNA, 253 nt
Filed under: uncultured Rhodospirillales bacterium
Lineage: Bacteria; Pseudomonadati; Pseudomonadota; Alphaproteobacteria; Rhodospirillales
Description: contains 16S-23S intergenic spacer region
Rfam family: Bacterial small subunit ribosomal RNA
Source: RNAcentral
UACGGAGGGGGCUAGCGUUGUUCGGAAUUACUGGGCGUAAAGCGCGCGUAGGCGGCCGAUCAAGUUGGGCGUGAAAGCCCGGGGCUCAACCCCGGAACCGCGCCUGAAACUGGUUGGCUGGAGUCCGGGAGAGAGUGGUGGAAUUCCCAGUGUAGAGGUGAAAUUCGUAGAUAUUGGGAAGAACACCGGUGGCGAAGGCGGCCACCUGGCCCGGCACUGACGCUGAGGCGCGAAAGCGUGGGGAGCAAACAGG